Neopsephotus bourkii (Bourke's parrot) is the source of this 244-nucleotide long non-coding RNA. RefSeq lists it as uncharacterized. The record is from RefSeq and is a predicted model, not a curated record. Lineage: Eukaryota; Metazoa; Chordata; Aves; Psittaciformes; Psittacidae. The transcript has 2 exons.
UCUUGAGCACAGCUGAGUUCGCUGCAGCUGCUACCUCUUGAUAACAUUGUUAGUGCAAGUUGAGGUUCUUCUCAAACAUGUCUCCUGCUCCUCAGAAUAGAAGGUAGUCUGUGAGAAACUGCUUGGUAGAAGAGCAGCAGCAAAGGCAAGGCUCAGGCUGGUUCCAUGGAGCUCCUUGUCUCCACUUGAGAACAGUAAAAUAAAAAAAAUAGUGGGGAAGACGAGAGACCCCUGUAACACUCCC